This 417-nucleotide long non-coding RNA is filed under the name Eucalyptus grandis. RNAcentral's name for it is "long non-coding RNA (EGRA_LNC005878)". Lineage: Eukaryota; Viridiplantae; Streptophyta; Magnoliopsida; Myrtales; Myrtaceae. The record is from RNAcentral.
UUGUGAGUACUAAAAAUUCAUCAAUUGCCAAGGAAUCAGGGCAACUAGCAGAGCAGAGGUCGUCAGACUUGAACUAUUGUUCAAUACACUACUUUGAAUGAUCUUGCAGCAAAAUCCUCAUCGCCACCUAACAACCAGAACCCAUGAUCAAAUAAUACCAUCAGAACGUUAAUCAAAGCCCAAAUGACCUCAACCAGAAAAGUUGCGAAACCAUUCAUGUAUCAUAGAGACCCACCAAAGGAAAUCUGUUGAUGAACUUCGCAAAAUAAAUGAACCGAACUCAAAAAUGAUGAAAAGAAAUGUCCAGAUGCCCACCUCUUCUUCUUGCCUUCGGUAUCAACCUUGUCCCCAUCUUCAAAUGCUCUUCAACUUUUCCUCCUUCUUCCUCUGUUCUUUCCGUUGCCUAAGAGGGAAGAU